This 424-nucleotide ribosomal RNA is filed under the name uncultured bacterium. RNAcentral's name for it is "bacterial SSU rRNA". It matches the Rfam family "Bacterial small subunit ribosomal RNA", at positions 358 to 774 of the family's 1533-position model. The record is from RNAcentral.
GGAAUCUUCCACAAUGGACGAAAGUCUGAUGGAGCAACGCCGCGUGAGUGAAGAAGGUUUUCGGAUCGUAAAACUCUGUUGUUGGAGAAGAACACGUUUGAGAGUAACUGUUCAGACGUUGACGGUAUCCAACCAGAAAGCCAAGGCUAACUACGUGCCAGCAGCCGCGGUAAUACGGAGGAUGCGAGCGUUAUCCGGAUUUAUUGGGUUUAAAGGGUGCGUAGGCGGACGAUUAAGCGUGAGGUGAAAUGCCCGGGCUCAACCUGGGAACUGCCUCGCGAACUGGUUGUCUGGAAUGCUCCUGCCGUGGGAGGAAUGUGUGGUGUAGCGGUGAAAUGCAUAGAGAUCACACAGAACACCGAUUGCGAAGGCAUCUCACGAAGGGGUGAUUGACGCUGAGGCACGAAAGCGUGGGGAUCAAACA